CCUACGGGAGGCAGCAGUGAGGAAUAUUGGACAAUGGGCGCAAGCCUGAUCCAGCCAUGCCGCGUGCAGGAAGACGGUCCUAUGGAUUGUAAACUGCUUUUAUACAGGAAGAAACACCUCUACGUGUAGAGACUUGACGGUACUGUAUGAAUAAGCAUCGGCUAACUCCGUGCCAGCAGCCGCGGUAAUACGGAGGAUGCAAGCGUUAUCCGGAAUCAUUGGGUUUAAAGGGUCCGUAGGCGGUUUAAUAAGUCAGUGGUGAAAGCCCAUCGCUCAACGAUGGAACGGCCAUUGAUACUGUUAAACUUGAAUUAUUAGGAAGUAACUAGAAUAUGUAGUGUAGCGGUGAAAUGCUUAGAGAUUACAUGGAAUACCAAUUGCGAAGGCAGGUUACUACUAAUAUAUUGACGCUGAUGGACGAAAGCGUGGGGAGCGAACAGGAUUAGAUACCCUGGUAGUCCACGCCGUUAAACGAUGGAUACUAGNUGUGUGNAUNUGNGUGNGUAGAGAAGAGAGUAAGUAUACCACCGCGGGAGGUACGGUUCGUCGAAGAAGAGAAACGUAACGAAAGUAAGUAAGUAGGUACGGUAGAGAGAGCGACGACGGACGACGACGGAGGGAGGAGG
RNAcentral lists this ribosomal RNA (626 nucleotides) under uncultured bacterium. Its description in RNAcentral is "bacterial SSU rRNA". The stretch from base 1 to 529 matches the Rfam family "Bacterial small subunit ribosomal RNA", at positions 338 to 873 of the family's 1533-position model. The record is from RNAcentral.